Molecule: ribosomal RNA, 253 nt
Filed under: uncultured bacterium
Lineage: Bacteria
Description: partial 16S ribosomal RNA
Rfam family: Bacterial small subunit ribosomal RNA
Source: RNAcentral
UACGUAGGGUGCAAGCGUUACUCGGAAUUACUGGGCGUAAAGCGUGCGCAGGCGGCUUUGCAAGUCAGAUGUGAAAUCCCCGGGCUCAACCUGGGAACUGCAUUUGUGACUGCAAGGCUAGAGUACGGUAGAGGGGGAUGGAAUUCCGCGUGUAGCAGUGAAAUGCGUAGAUAUGCGGAGGAACACCGAUGGCGAAGGCAAUCCCCUGGACCUGUACUGACGCUCAUGCACGAAAGCGUGGGGAGCAAACAGG